UACGUAGGUGGCAAGCGUUGUCCGGAUUUACUGGGCGUAAAGAGCGCGCAGGCGGCCAUUCAAGUCGGGGGUGAAAGCCCAGGGCUCAACCCUGGAAUUGCCUUCGAUACUGUUUGGCUAGAGACCGGAAGAGGUUAGUGGAACUGCGAGUGUAGAGGUGAAAUUCGUAGAUAUUCGCAAGAACACCAGUGGCGAAGGCGGCUAACUGGUCCGGUUCUGACGCUGAGGCGCGAAAGCGUGGGGAGCAAACAGG
Molecule: ribosomal RNA, 253 nt
Filed under: uncultured bacterium
Lineage: Bacteria
Description: partial 16S ribosomal RNA
Rfam family: Bacterial small subunit ribosomal RNA
Source: RNAcentral